UACGGAGGAUGCGAGCGUCGUCCGGAUUUAUUGGGUUUAAAGGGUGCGUAGGCGGAUCGUUAAGUCAGUGGUCAAAUUGAGGGGCUCAACCCCUUCCCGCCAUUGAAACUGGCGCUCUUGAGUGGAAGAGAAGUAUGCGGAAUGCGUGGUGUAGCGGUGAAAUGCAUAGAUAUCACGCAGAACCCCGAUUGCGAAGGCAGCAUGCCGGCUUCCGACUGACGCUGAAGCACGAAAGCGUGGGGAUCGAACAGG
RNAcentral lists this ribosomal RNA (252 nucleotides) under uncultured bacterium. Its description in RNAcentral is "partial 16S ribosomal RNA". It matches the Rfam family "Bacterial small subunit ribosomal RNA", at positions 524 to 776 of the family's 1533-position model. The record is from RNAcentral.